Molecule: long non-coding RNA, 1084 nt
Organism: Wyeomyia smithii (pitcher-plant mosquito)
Lineage: Eukaryota; Metazoa; Arthropoda; Insecta; Diptera; Culicidae
Exons: 3
Source: RefSeq, a predicted model, not a curated record
UAAUGAUGUGAAAUAACAAAAAUUUGAUCAUGUAUUAGUAAACUAAAAGAGAGAGAGAAAAAAAAAAACGUUCCUGUUUCGAACCUUAGAUCCUCUGAUCUUUGGUUUCGCUGUUUACUUUGAGUCCAGUUGUGAGGAACUCGAAUGAAAAGGUAUUUUAUUGAUGUUAUUUUAUGUGAUCAACUCACGUGUUUGACCCACUGUGAGUUGAUAUAUUUUUAGGUUUCCAUUCCAAUUGGAAAAUUUUCGAUGGACUUGAUUCACUGGUAUGUGUGAAACCGUGUCAAUCGACUAAUAAAAAUGCAAUUAUGCAUUAUUGAUUGUCGUCAUUCUUAAUUUGUUUCGGUAUGGGCAGUACGGGUCGGUACCCCUGGUUUUUUAGUUUGAUUUGUUCAUUAAAUUAAAAAAAAAAUUCUGAGGUUAUCUUAGUGGCGUGUGACUAGCCACGGAUUAGAAUGUAGUGUCGUAGUAGUGGAAUAUUCUGUGCCAGAAAGUGGAAUAUUCUGUGCCAGAAUAGUGUGGUGAACAGUCCGCUAUGGCGGUGAGGUUGGAUGGGUUGAAUCCUGUUGCUGGUUCCAGUGCCCUGUGAGCUGCUCCCUGUCCGUGGGAUCUAUUGCGAUUGGAUUUCGAAAACUUGAAUUCGCGUAACACUGGUCAACAGUCGAUCUCGGAUUGUUAUUAUUGUUCCUCUAACACUUUCACUGUUUCUUCUUCUAAUCCUUUUUAUUUGUUCUUUUAGGUUUCGACCAUCUUCGAGGAGGAGCCCUUAGAAAUAUUGGACUUGCACGUUUCGUGGCAUUCACUUUCGUUGAUUUGGGUCUGUUUUUUCGAUACGUCAAAGUCACUUAAGCACGCUCUUUUGCGCUGUCACCAAUGAAGCGGAAUACGUACCGAGUGGUUAGACACUAUUACUGCUGGAUGUGAUAUGUCCUUUGAUUAACUGCACUACAUCUGCUCGAUUUUAAUUACUUUUAAUCUAUCAGUUAAGUUGAAAAAAUAUUAAAUCACUUAAACACUAAACCGAAACUUAAACAACGGGCAUCACUUCUGCCUCGCGGAAUAAAACUUAAGAGUUAACACCUAA